CCUACGGGAGGCUGCAGUGGGGAAUAUUGCUCAAUGGGGGCAACCCUGAUGCAGCGACGCCGCGUGCGUGAUGAAGUAAUUCGUUAUGUAAAGCUCUAUCAGCAGGGAGGAAAAUGCCGGUACCUGAGUCAGAAGCCCCGGCUAACUACGUGCCAGCAGCCGCGGUAAUACGUAGGGGGCAAGCGUUAUCCGGAUUUACUGGGUGUAAAGGGAGCGUAGACGGCAGUGCAAGUAUGGAGUGAAAGGCGGGGGCUCAACCCCCGGACUGCUCUGGAAACUGUACGGCUAGAGUGCAGGAGAGGUAAGUGGAAUUCCUAGUGUAGCGGUGAAAUGCGUAGAUAUUAGGAGGAACACCAGUGGCGAAGGCGGCUUACUGGACUGUAACUGACGUUGAGGCUCGAAAGCGUGGGGAGCAAACAGGAUUAGAUACCCUUGUAGUC
This 440-nucleotide ribosomal RNA is filed under the name uncultured bacterium. Its description in RNAcentral is "partial 16S ribosomal RNA". It matches the Rfam family "Bacterial small subunit ribosomal RNA", at positions 338 to 795 of the family's 1533-position model. The record is from RNAcentral.